UAGCAGUAGGGAAUCUUCCACAAUGGGCGAAAGCCUGACGGAGCAACGCCGCGUGAGUGAUGAAGGGUUUCGGCUCGUAAAACUCUGUUAUUAGGGAAGAACAAAUGUGUAAGUAACUGUGCACGUCUUGACGGUACCUAAUCAGAAAGCCACGGCUAACUACGUGCCAGCAGCCGCGGUAAUACGUAGGUGGCAAGCGUUAUCCGGAAUUAUUGGGCGUAAAGCGCGCGUAGGCGGUUUCUUAAGUCUGAUGUGAAAGCCCACGGCUCAACCGUGGAGGGUCAUUGGAAACUGGGAAACUUGAGUGCAGAAGAGGAAAGUGGAAUUCCAUGUGUAGCGGUGAAAUA
Molecule: ribosomal RNA, 347 nt
Filed under: uncultured Staphylococcus sp.
Lineage: Bacteria; Bacillati; Bacillota; Bacilli; Caryophanales; Staphylococcaceae
Description: bacterial SSU rRNA
Rfam family: Bacterial small subunit ribosomal RNA
Source: RNAcentral